Ochotona curzoniae (black-lipped pika) is the source of this 197-nucleotide long non-coding RNA. RefSeq lists it as uncharacterized. The record is from RefSeq and is a predicted model, not a curated record. The transcript is spliced from 2 exons. Lineage: Eukaryota; Metazoa; Chordata; Mammalia; Lagomorpha; Ochotonidae.
AGGGCAGAGGCCACCCCUAAACUGGCCACUGUGCCAGGAGACCGUGCAAGUCGAACCGCCGGUUCAUGGAGAUGAGACUGAGGCCCUGGGCCACCAACUUAAGCCUAGUCGCGAGUUAGCUCACCAGCCCGGCUCGCGCGGCGAGGCCCAGGCUGCGGACUAGGUUCUCGAAGAAAAAAAGUGUUGACCAUUUUCGG